Molecule: ribosomal RNA, 103 nt
Filed under: Sinocyclocheilus anshuiensis
Lineage: Eukaryota; Metazoa; Chordata; Actinopteri; Cypriniformes; Cyprinidae
Source: RNAcentral
UUGUGUAGCCAACCAAGACUGGUUGCCCACUGAAGCUAAGCAGGUUGAGUCUGGUUAGUACCUGAAUGGGAGACCUCCUGGGAAAACUAGGUUGCUGUUGGAA